RNAcentral lists this ribosomal RNA (714 nucleotides) under uncultured Streptococcaceae bacterium. RNAcentral's name for it is "bacterial SSU rRNA". It matches the Rfam family "Bacterial small subunit ribosomal RNA", at positions 44 to 741 of the family's 1533-position model. Lineage: Bacteria; Bacillati; Bacillota; Bacilli; Lactobacillales; Streptococcaceae. The record is from RNAcentral.
GUGCCUAAUACAUGCAAGUAGAACGCUGAGAACUGGUGCUUGCACCGGUUCAAGGAGUUGCGAACGGGUGAGUAACGCGUAGGUAACCUACCUAUAAGACUGGGAUAACUUCGGGAAACCGGAGCUAAUACCGGAUAAUAUUUUGAACCGCAUGGUUCAAAAGUGAAAGACGGUCUUGCUGUCACUUAUAGAUGGAUCCGCGCUGCAUUAGCUAGUUGGUAAGGUAACGGCUUACCAAGGCAACGAUACAUAGCCGACCUGAGAGGGUGAUCGGCCACACUGGGACUGAGACACGGCCCAGACUCCUACAGGACGCAGCAGUAGGGAAUCUUCGGCAAUGGGGGCAACCCUGACCGAGCAACGCCGCGUGAGUGAAGAAGGUUUUCGGAUCGUAAAGCUCUGUUGUUAGAGAAGAAUGAUGGUGGGAGUGGAAAAUCCACCAAGUGACGGUAACUAACCAGAAAGGGACGGCUAACUACAUGCCAGCAGCCGCGGUAAUACGUAGGUCCCGAGCGUUGUCCGGAUUUAUUGGGCGUAAAGCGAGCGCAGGCGGUUUUUAAGUCUGAAGUUAAAGGCAUUGGCCCAACCAAUGUACGCUUUGGAAACUGGAGAACUUGAGUGCAGAAGGGGAGAGUGGAAUUCCAUGUGUAGCGGUGAAAUGCGUAGAUAUAUGGAGGAACACCAGUGGCGAAGGCGACUUUCUGGUCUGUAACU